RNAcentral lists this ribosomal RNA (432 nucleotides) under uncultured bacterium. RNAcentral describes it as "partial 16S ribosomal RNA". It matches the Rfam family "Bacterial small subunit ribosomal RNA", at positions 29 to 506 of the family's 1533-position model. The record is from RNAcentral.
AACGAACGCUGGCGGCAUGCCUAACACAUGCAAGUCGAACGAGACCUUCGGGUCUAGUGGCGCACGGGUGCGUAACGCGUGGGAACCUGCCCUUAGGUUCGGAAUAACUCCCCGAAAGGGGUGCUAAUACCGGAUAAUGUCUUCGGACCAAAGAUUUAUCGCCUUUGGAUGGGCCCGCGUUGGAUUAGCUAGUUGGUAGGGUAAAAGCCUACCAAGGCGACGAUCCAUAGCUGGUCUGAGAGGAUGAUCAGCCACACUGGGACUGAGACACGGCCCAGACUCCUACGGGAGGCAGCAGUGGGGAAUAUUGGACAAUGGGCGAAAGCCUGAUCCAGCAAUGCCGCGUGAGUGAUGAAGGCCUUAGGGUUGUAAAGCUCUUUUACCCGGGAUGAUAAGGACAGUACCGGGAGAAUAAGCGCCGGCGAACUCCGU